GGAGUUAGCCGGUGCUUCUUCUGUGAGUGAUGUCCUUCCUGCCGGCUAUUAACCCGCAGGCCUUCUUCCUCACUGAAAGUGCUUUACAACCCGAAGGCCUUCUUCACACACGCGGCAUGGCUGGAUCAGGGUUGCCCCCAUUGUCCAAUAUUCCCCACUGCUGCCUCCCGUAGGAGUCUGGGCCGUGUCUCAGUCCCAGUGUGGCUGAUCAUCCUCUCAGACCAGCUACGGAUCGUCGCCUUGGUGAGCCGUUACCUCACCAACCAGCUAAUCCGACAUAGGCUCAUCCGAUAGCGCGAGGCCCGAAGGUCCCCCGCUUUCCCCCGUAGGGCGUAUGCGGUAUUAGCCUGGGUUUCCCCCAGGUUAUCCCCCACUACCGGGCAGAUUCCUAUGCAUUACUCACCCGUCCGCCGCUCGCCACCAGGGAGCAAGCUCCCCGUGCUGCCGCUCGACUUGCAUGUGUUAGGCCUGCCGCCAGCGUCAUCUGAACCAACGAUACAACUACUGA
RNAcentral lists this ribosomal RNA (508 nucleotides) under uncultured bacterium. RNAcentral describes it as "partial 16S ribosomal RNA". The record is from RNAcentral.